Molecule: long non-coding RNA, 618 nt
Filed under: Chrysemys picta bellii (western painted turtle)
Lineage: Eukaryota; Metazoa; Chordata; Testudines; Emydidae
Description: lncRNA (ENSCPBG00000010177.1)
Source: RNAcentral
CCCAGCUCCCUCCCCCUCACACCCACGCCCCUUCCGCCUUCUCCUCCCCCCACUUCCGCUUCCGCCCCACCAGUCACCAACCCCUGCUUUCGCCGCCGCGUCUGCGUCUCUGGGAGCGGCAGCAGGACGGCGAGUGGCUCUCCGAGCAGAUCGAUGGAGGCCCGGCGCGGCUGGCCGGUGGGGGGCGCUGGCUCUCGCUCGCUGGCUCUGGGAUGGAUUUUCCGCGGCCUAGCCUGGACUCCGGACCAGCCACCAUCUUAGAGGAGAGGAGCGGGCUGUGCAGUGGGACGGAGGGGCUUUGGGGUCGGGCCCUGCCGCAGACAGAUACUGGGAACCAGCUCUACUAUUAUUUAUAUACAGAACAUUUUGAUGUCAUGGAGGUACUGUUUUCAAAAGACCUGCACGUAACUGGCUGAAAAAAAUGGCUCCACAAGAUGACAAUCUCAGCCCUAAUAUGGUCUAAAUGGAGACAGCUUUCAUCUUGACAAUGGCAGCUUGAAGUCUAUUAAAGUCCAAGCAUUUAUUUUGUUUUUAAAAAUUAUUGUGCAGGUAUGUAAAAUAUAAAUAUCAGUAAUUAUUUUCUCAACGUUCUUUUUUAUUUCAGCAUGUUUUUCUCAA